Manis pentadactyla (Chinese pangolin) is the source of this 5578-nucleotide long non-coding RNA. RefSeq lists it as uncharacterized. Lineage: Eukaryota; Metazoa; Chordata; Mammalia; Pholidota; Manidae. The record is from RefSeq and is a predicted model, not a curated record. The transcript has 8 exons.
GCUCAUUUCAAGUGGCUGCAGCAGCUUUCCCCCUGCCCCUUGAGUGCGGCAGCCUCAGAGCUGGUGGAGAGGCAGAGCGCAUGCAGUUGGACAAAUUCGUAGAUAUGGAAUUUCCUGGAUGAAAUGGUACUUGGAGAAUUAAAGCUGUCUGGAUUCAGUUCCUGGAAUUUUCUAGAAUGGUGUAAGAGGGAAAUGUAAGAUAUGUAUAAGGAGCAGAAAUAAAUAAUGUUUGUCAGCCUGUUGCUGGCAGGAGUCUGAUCUAGGGAUUUAAAGGAGGUAGGGUGAGUCUCAGUCCAUGCUAUUAAGGCCACCAUCUCUUGCAGAUGUGAGCUGGAGAGAGCCAGCUGGUGGGGGAAGAGGGAUCCCUGCCCAGUGCCCGUUUGCCACCUGGUGACCAUAUUGAGAACUUUGCACAUUACCUAUUUACUGAGGCCGUAAAAAUAACCAAAGAUCUGAAGAGAGGACUCCUGAAGCAAGCUCUAAGCCUUGCCGCCUGCCCAGGCGAUCAGGACGGUGGGCGACUGUUACCGCUGAGGAAAAACAAGAAGAGCUUGGCGGGGUUUCUUAGCGCUUUGGCCUUGAGAUGGGUUAAUGGACCGUGCUUCUCGCUGCCCUGCCGGGACGGAGUGGGGCGGGUGGCCUGAGCGGGGCAACCGAGGGGGUGUCCUGACACAGCGACCAGGCAGAAGUGGCAGCGCCCGGUCUCCCACCCCGGUGGGGCAGGGGCCGGCCCCGCGCGCAAGGAGUGGCCCUCGGGCGAGCAGCGGGGCGGCAGGCGGGCGGGCGCCGGAGGGGCCACCCACGCGGGCAGGCUCUCCCGGAAGCAGCUGGGGGAUAAAGGCUGCACUGAAGGGCGCUGCUGCAGAGGAGGCGCGCUGCAGAGACGACACACGUCCUCCCCAGAGGGGGCAGAUUGUGCUUUGGCGGCUGGGAGAGGAGACCGCGCGCAGGGAGCAGCCACCCGCAGCUGCAGAAUCCUGGCCGUCACUUACCCCUCACUCGAAUGACCACGGCCGGGAUACGGUCGAGUGGACGGAGGCAUUCGCCUCAGGCCCAAAAUUUAAGGGCGCACCAAGACACUCAGUAAAUAAGAAAAAAAAAAUUAAUGCCGUAUCUUUAAAAUUCAAAGUUAAUACAAAAAUUCCAUGAUGAACAAUGUGUGAAAAUGUUAAAAAUAAAGACAUGACCCGACCCUGACUUGGCACUUGGCCACGCUUCCUCACCCGAGUCCCCAGCUCUGCAAACCAGCUCGGAAGUGAUCCCCUCCUCUCUCCGCGAUGUCAAGUCCCGGACCUCUGCCGUACUCAGCAUAGGCUCCUCCGUUGCAGUGAGUUGGGUUUUCCCUGUGUACGUGCCUCCCUAGCUGUGCGGAAGGAAGGAGGGACGGCUGCUUCCCCACUUGUGCCUCAAGGAGCCAAGCCCCGCGCUUUGCACCUGGCGUGGGGCCAGCGUGGAGUUCGGCAGACACGGAAGGCCAGAGUUUAUGCAGUGCUGGCCUCAGGUUGCAAAGUUCUGCAUUGGAACCACCGAACCCCCACCGAAGCCAGUGAAAAUAAGGUAAAGAGGAAGAGCAAACGGAGGAGGGGAUCAUGAAACUACUGUUCAAAUUUAUGUUCUUUUUCUCAAAAAAUAUAUAUAUAUUUGGAAGCUUUGGGCAUGGCCAGUCUCCUGAAAGAUCAGGGGAAAGGGCGAAGUUGUCGGAGCACUUCCCCAAGUCCUGGUUUACUAAACUGAGUUUGCUUACCUUGAGGUGCUAAAUAGUCAAACAUUCUGCUUGGCAUGAACUGGGAAGAAAUUGGGGAAGUGCAGACCUUGCGGACUGCGUGCGGCAGGGCUCACCACCCACCUACCUCCGCUUCAGUGUUCCUUCUCUGCCCGGGUUGCACUGUUCCACUCUGUAGCCAGCGGAGGGCACUGCUGCUGCGUAGAAUCCAUUUUGACUUUUUGGGGGAAAAAUUUUCAGAGCUUAAAAAAAAAAAAAUACUUGGCUCCAGUAAGAAAUAUGUACAAGCUCCCAUGAAAUUUUAAUGUGGAAAAAUAGAUUAUUAUUAAGAACUUAUGGAUUUCUAUUUGAUUAAUGGCCCAUCGAACCACGAGAGGACAGUGAAGAUGUUUCAUAACUGUCUUUGUUAUCAAGAUUAAAAUAGCAAGAACAAAAUAGCAAUGUUAUAAUAAAUAUCAGCAUGAUAUCCCUGAAUUAUUUAGGGAACAAACAGGACUUUUUCUCCUAGGAAUGUGUGUGCCAAGUCCUAGUAAUAAGGAAAUAGGUCUGAUUUGUCCUAAACAUCUGCUUUUUUUAUGCAUUGCAAACAUAAGCCCUUUCAUUAAUAUCAGGACAGUUAAACGUAAGUCCAUCUUACCAAAGAAAUGUGGCAUCUGAGGUCCUUUAUGAUUUGCCUCAACAGACUUUUCCAAAUUUGUUUUUUACUAUCCACUUCAGCCACCUUGUGUUUUAGCCUCAUCUAGUCUAGUCCCCAUACUUCCAGCACUUUCCUGCCUCUGUCUUCGCCCCGUUCUUACUUCCCACUCAACUCACACCCUUCUGCAUAUACUGGAAAUCCUAUAUUAGAGCUUUAAGGUCCAAUUCAAUGCGGACCCUUUUGUGAGUGCUGCAUGCAGGUCUUACUGGCUCUACUGUGAGCACUUAUGCAAUGAAAUGACCUAUUCUGUUCUAGAUGUCAAGACAUUCACAAAAUGAUUAAAACAUGGGGAAACAGAAGGCACUACAAAGAAGUGCCAUGAAUGCUGUAAUAAUCAGAGUAAGUACGGGAGGGAGGCUCUGGGAGCUCUGAUCAGUGGUUCCCAGUCAGAACCAGCUGGAGGGAGCAGGGAAAGCUUCUUGGAAAAGGUGGUGCUUGAACUAGUGUUGAAAGCUAAGGACAGCUGGAUGGUUGAGGUAGCCCCUCACCUGGCUGGCUUGUAGGUUACAGGGGAGGAUGGGAGGAGGUAGUGGGGGAGGAUAUUAGGAGAGUAAGCAGGGUGCCAUCAAUCAGAGGAAGGUGGGACUUUGCUCAACAAUCCCUGGGGCCUCAUGGGAGUGAUUUAAAGGGGAGUAAGUACUGGAUUAGACUCCUAUUUUAGGAAGGUUGCUCUGGAGGCAGUGUGGUCAGUAGGCUUGAUAGCAGGGUGAUGACAGAAGACUGCAUUAUUCUUCAGAUGAGGAAUGAAGGGCCUGAACUGAACCAAGGCACAUAAAGUGGGAAUGGACAGAAGGAAGAAGGUUAGGCCCCAAGAACACACUGUUUGUGCACAGACUCUUAUGGAAUGUGUGGCUUUCUACCUUCUAAUGUGUUAUGUUUAUCUUCCGAGAAGGCUAAGUUCCUUGAGAUGGAGGCUUUUCCUCAGUUCAUUUGUUCCUCAUAUCACAUGGCCUUGUACAUGAUAAGCUCUUAUCAGCACAAGUUGAUUGAGGAGAACGAAAUCAAUGUCUGAAGUGUUUGAUCAUGGGGGUUUACUUUUGAAAUGCUCUGUUAUUGCUCUUUGGUCUCAAAAGUCAGUUGAAUGACAUCUUUGUUUAUCAUGUUAGUAAAUGCAUUGUGGGAGUUUAUAAAUUUUGAAAAAAAUAAGAUUUCUCAUUGUUACCAUUCUUACUGGUUACCAUUUAUGGGUAUUAUACUUGAAAAUGUUAAAUGAUUCUAAGGGUCUGUACUUUUUGGGCUUGUGUAUGUGUUUUAAAAUUUUUGGAGGAAAAUAAUCGCUCUGCACAGCUUAUAUAAAAGCAAACCCCUUAAGACCAAAUGUCCUUUCAUAACAAAAGCUGCAAUGAACUCAAUCCUGUUUAUUCAUACAAAUCCUCACAGGGUGUGGCAUUUACAAAAUUCUUUGUUCUUCUCAGUUGAAAUGCUGUUAGAAAAACAUCUUGAGAGCCUCCUGCCAUUUUGGGCACUUGAGCAAUGUGAGCCCCAACUCAUGACUUCAGAGCUCAGUCAGCUAAGCUUUAUUUCACCUUACAACGUAUCCUAGGCACCCUUGGACUCGCAAGGACUAGAAGAAUGAUGUUACACUGUCAACCCUGUAGAUAAACAUACUUUGGAAAAAUACCCUGAGUAGAGUUACACUUCAUUAUACUGUUAAGCAGGAAAAUACAUAUGAUUGGGGUGGAAAGAGAAAAAGGCCAGAUAAGUCCACUAAAAAGACCCAAAGUUAAUCAAUUAAAACUCAAAAAACCAGGAGCAACUUGGCCUGGAAUGUUUGAAUAUUCCCCAGAUAAAGGAAGGUACCUCAGCAUAGCCCAUGUCUUUAUUGUGUUAAUCAUGCAGGCCCAGUUUAUUUUUUAUCUUUACCUAUAUGCUGUUUUUUUCUCCUUCCAGCCCUAAUCAAAAAGUUUGUAACCUAGGCAACAAAUUUAACAUGCAGGCCCAGCCAUAAACAACAUAGUAAAAGGCAGGAAGGAUUACAUUUUACAGAUUAUAUUUUAAUACCCGGGAAGUUAACAAUGUAAGAUUCUUAACUUACUCUUUAGCAAACAGACAAUAACUCAGCCCACCUUGGGGGCUGGGCAGGCAGCCUUGUUUGAUAGCUCCCAGACUAAGACUCCAGAGAAAUCAGAGCAGGAAGCUGCUUGUGUUAACUUAAUUCUAAGUAUUCAAAGACCACUUAACAGGUCUACACCCCCAGGCCUUAGUCACAUUCCUGAAGAAUCCUUAAAAGAGGGAACCCCCAACCUUUUGGGGCACUCCUCUCUCUGAGGUCGCGCGCACUUUCUGAGUGCGAAACUUUAACUUUUCCCAACCUUUCAGGGCACAUCUCCUCACUGAGGUUGCCUGCUGCACUUUUUCUUUCUUUAAGUAACUUUAAAUAAAACUUUACUCUGCUUCACUACUGUGUCUCUGCCCUUCAAUUAUUUGUUGUGGCAGGGACAAGAACCGAGGAAAAUACACAACGCUCCCCCAACAGUACCAUUGUUUAUUAGCAUCCUAACAGCUUCCAGACUGUAUAGCUUGCAGAACUGAAAGGCAACAUAGGAUGUUUAUUUUAGAGGCUUUAUUCUUCACAGUAACUUGGCUCUAGCAUCUUGAAAACGUGACAUAUCCUUAGCAAGGUCAGAGAACACAGGAUGAAACUUUGACCCUAAGUGAAUUUUAUGGGUAGAAGUAUGUUCUAUCAUGUGAAAUUUGUCUGAGUGAAGUUUUGCCCAGUGAUAUAGUUAAACAUAGUAAUCAUUCUCCCUACUCAGGGUUAUCCAUUUUUAUCUCGUCUGCUUCUUACUUCUUUUCACAAAUGUCCAUCUCUUCCAUGGUAUAGAAAAGAGUUGUUUAUUAGUGUUAUGAGGCUGAACUGUCACCAGCUUGAAAUAAUCCAGUUUUGGGUAAAAUUGCUGUAAAUCUUCUGUUCCAAUUUGGUAGAGAAAAAGAAAACUUGGAAAUUGAGUCUUUUACCUUUAAAUUGAUAUUGGGAUUCAAGCUUUAUAAUGCCUUAAUGAUGCCGGGGUUCUUGUUCACAAAGCCGAAGAAUGAACUUCACAGUCAAGGUAGGACAGCAAGGUACAGGCUUUUAUUUAGAGGUAAAGGAAAGAACAGAGCUCCCGGCUCACGCCAGGCGGGGACAAGAGAGUCCGUAGUGGUGCGUUGUCUAGGGG